GUUAUAGUUCUAUCACUUGUAAGCAAAUAGAAACUGUGUUUGAACAUUUUAAUUGAUUGGUGAUAUAUCUAUCCAAUGCAUUUGAGCACUGAUAUGAGCAUUAAAAAAUUAUUCAUCCACUGUAGUUGAAUGGCUCCAGAUUUUGAGGUUAUUAGAAUUUUGACUGAAUUGCUUGAUAAGCUUGGACAUUAGGGAUUUUGAGGUGGAAGAGAAAGGAUUAACUGCUGAGACAGAUGACAAAAUUGGAACUUUUGUUGAAAAAAAAGGACACCCUUAAACAAUAUUUUCUGAACUUAAACAACGCAAAGCUUUCUUAGAAAAUGCUCGAUGUGUCGAUGCAUUGAAUGACCUGGAAAGUUUAUUUAAAGUUCUGGAUAAAUCAAAACGCCUUGAAAAUGCUGGAUGUCGCCUUGAUUAUUAUACAGGAGUUAUAUUUGAAGCUGUUCUUAAAGGGGAUGAUGCUGAGGUUGGUUCAAUUGCUGCUGGUGGUCGAUAUGAUAACAUGAUAGGGAUGCUUGCUUGGUUCAAAGAAGAAAUUUCCAAUAGUUAGUGUUAGUCUAGGAUUCGAGAGAGUAUUUACCGUACUAAGGAAGCAAUUGAAAGAUAAAAAUCGGGUGAUCAUAAUGCUUGAUAUUUAACUUUUGUAGUU
Trifolium pratense (red clover) is the source of this 649-nucleotide long non-coding RNA. RefSeq lists it as uncharacterized. The record is from RefSeq and is a predicted model, not a curated record. NCBI's taxonomy places the organism in Eukaryota, Viridiplantae, Streptophyta, Magnoliopsida, Fabales, Fabaceae. The transcript has 3 exons.